This 76-nucleotide transfer RNA is filed under the name Armatimonadota bacterium. RNAcentral describes it as "tRNA-Asn". It matches the Rfam family "tRNA". Rfam says of the family: Transfer RNA (tRNA) molecules are approximately 80 nucleotides in length. Their secondary structure includes four short double-helical elements and three loops (D, anti-codon, and T loops). RNAcentral also lists the same sequence under 1 other name. Lineage: Bacteria; Bacillati; Armatimonadota. The record is from RNAcentral.
UCCCCUGUAGCUCAAUUGGCAGAGCGCUUGGCUGUUAACCAGGAUGUUCGUGGUUCGAGUCCACGCGGGGGAGCCA